Molecule: long non-coding RNA, 22293 nt
Filed under: Homo sapiens (human)
Lineage: Eukaryota; Metazoa; Chordata; Mammalia; Primates; Hominidae
Description: HSALNT0352050
Source: RNAcentral
GUGGAGGCGAAGUAAACACUCCCCGACAGCGUAGGUCUGUCCAGAACCCGCCUCCGUCUUCACCCAAACACUGAAUGGCUGAGAUUUCCACUUCCGGGUUUCUGCUGGGGAGCUAUGGCGGCUGCAGAGGGCCGAAAGGUGUCUGCGCGCAUCUGCUCCCUGGCGCCCUCUCGAGGAGCCCCUGAGGAUUCGUGCCUCCCAGAGGUGGGGAAAGCCCGCCCGAGGCGCCGGUGCUGACGGUGGCGGGGCUGCCGGGCACGCUGUGGAACUGCCUCCCGCUAGAGCUGCGGGCUGGCGACGGUCCCGUGGGGGCGGGAAGCGGCUCAGGGUGCCCUCGCCGGCCUGCGGCGGCGCGUCUGGGAGCGCAGGCCACUCGUGCGCGGGUCACUCGGGGCUGUGCCUCGCGCGACUGUGUGUGCAGGAAACAAGGAGGAAAUACCCUAAAAUGGAAUGAAGCGCCAUGUUGAGGGCCGCGGAUGUCGCGAGUGCUGUGGGAAUGUGGGCUGAGGUGGAGAGUUAUGGUGGAGGAAGCUAGUCCUGUCUGAUGGAGGAAACAGGGCAGAGGCGUGGAGGGAGACGCACAGUGCUGGUGUGAGGAGCCGCGAGCAGGCCAGGCCUGUAAAGCAGCGUGAUGGGAACCAGGAUAGAGAAGGCAAGUCGGGGUCCUGUGGUCGCUGAAGAAUUUGAAUGAAAUCAGUAAACAGGUGAGAGGGAUCCAUCGCAAGAGCAUGGGAUGAAACGAGCAGUAGUCCACGGUGAUUCCUCUGCAGCGGCUGCAAAGUGCUCCAACUGUCAACUUGCAGAUUCUACAAAAAGAGUGUUUCCAAACUGUUGAAUCAAAAGAAAUUUUCAAAUCUGUGAGAUGAAAGCACACAUCACAAAGAAGUUUGUCAGAAUUCUUCUGUCUAGUUUUUAUGUGCAGAUAUUUCCUUUCCACCUUAGGCCUCAAAGCGCUCCAAAUGUCCACUUGCAGAUUCUAAAAAAGGAGAGUUUCAAAACUCCUCAAUCAAAAGGAAAGUUUAACUCUGUGAGAUGAAUGCACACAUCACAAAGAAGUUUCUCAGAUUGCUUCUGUCUAGAUGUUAUGUGAAGAUAUUUCCUUUCUACUAUAGGCUGCAAAGCGCUCUAAAUUUCCACUUGCAAAUACUAAAAAAAGAGUGUUUCCAAACUGCUCAAUCAAAAGAAAGGUUCAACUGUGAUCGAUGAAUGCACGCAUCACAAAAAAAGUUUCUCCAAUUUCUUUAGUCUAGUUUUUAUGUGAUGAUAUUUCCUUUUUAAUCAUAAGACUCAAAGCACUCCAAAUGUCCAUUAGCAGACUCUACAAAAAGAGAGUUUCAAAACUGCUCAAUCAAGAGAAAGUUUUAACUCUAUUAGAUGAAUGCACACAUCACAAAGAAGUUUCUCAGGUUGCUUCUGUGCAGAUUUUAUGUGAAGAUAUUUCCUUUUCUACCACAGGCCACAAAGUGCUCCAAAUGUCUACUUGCAGAUUCUACAAAAAGAGUGUUUCCAAACUGCUCAAUCAAAAGAAAUGUUGAACUCUGUGAGAUGAAUGCACGCAUCACAAAGAAGUUUCUCAGAUUGCUUCUGUCUAGAUUUUAUGUGAAGAUAUUUCCUUUUCUACCAAAGGCUGCAAAGCACUCCAAAUGUCCACUUGCAGAUUUUACAAAAAGAGUGUUUUCAAACUGCUCAAUCAAAAGAAAGGCUCAAGUCUGUGAGAUGAAUGCACACAUCACAAAGAAUUUUCUCAGAAUUCUCCUGUCUAGUUUUUAAGUAAAGAUAUUUCCUUUCCACCAUAGGCCUGAAGGCGCUCCAAAUGUCCAUUUGCAGAUUCUACAAAAAGAGUGUUUCCAAACUGCUUAAUAAAAAGAAAGGUUCAACUCUGUGAGAUGAAUGCACAUAUCACAGUGAAGUUUCUCAGAAUUCUUCUGUCUAGUUUUACAUGAAGAUAUUUCCUUUUCCAGCUGAGGCCUCAAAGUGCUCAAAUUGUCCACUUGCAGAUACUACAAAAAGAGAGUUUCAAAACUGCUCAGUCAAAAGAAAGGCUUAACUCUGUGAGAUGAAUGUACACAUCACAAGGAAGUUUCACAGAUUGCUUCUUUCUAGAUUUUAUGUGAAGAUAUUUCCUUUUCUACCAUAGGCUGCAAAGCGUUCCAAAUACCCACUUGCAGAUUCUACAAACAGAGGCUUUCCAAACUGCUCAAUAAAAAGAAAAGUUUAACUCUGUGAGAUGAAUGCACACAUCACAAAGAAGUUUCUCAGAAUUCUUCUGUCCAAUUUUUAUGUGAAGAUAUUUCCCUUUCCACCAUAAGCCUCAAAGCGCUCCAAAUGUCCACUUGCAGAUUCUACAAAAAGAGAGGUUCAAAACUGCUCAAUCAAAAGAAAGGUUUAACUCUAUGAGAUGAAUGCACACAUCAUAAAGAAGUUUCUCAGAUUGCUUCUCUCUAGAUUUGAUGGGAAGAUAUUUCCCUUUCUACCAUAGGCCCCAAAGUGCUCCAAAUGUCUACUUGCAGAUUCUACAAAAAGAGUGUUUCCAAACAGCUCAGUCAAAAGAAAGGCUUAACUCUGUGAGACGAACACACACAUCACAAAGAAGUUUCUCAGAAUUCUUCUGUCCAGUUUUAGUGUGAAGAUAUUUACUUUUCCACCAUAGGCCUCAAACCACUCCAAAUGUCCGCUUGAAGAUUCUACAGAAAGAGUUUCAGAACUGCUCAAUAAAAAGUAAGGUUUAACUCUGUGAGUUGAAUGCACACAUCACAAAGAAUUUUCUCAGAUUGCUUCUGUCUAGAUUUUAUGUGAAGGUAUUUCCUUUUCUACUGUAGGCCACAGAGCGCCCCAAAUGUACACUUGCAGUUUGUACAAAAAGAGUGUUUCCAAACUGCUCAAUCAAAAGAAAAGUUCAACUCUGUGAGAUGAACACACAUAUCACAAAGAAGUUUCUCAGAAUUCUUCUGUCUAGUUUUUAUGUGAAGAUAUUUCCUUUUCCACCAUAGGCCUCAAAGGGCUCCAAAUGUCCACUUGCAGAUUCUGCAAAAAGAGAGUUUCAAAACUCCUCAAUCAAAAGAAAUGUUUAACUCUGUGAGAUGAAUGCACACGUCACAGAGAAGUUUCUCAGAUUGUUUCUGUCUAGAUUUUAUGUGAAGAUAUUUACUUUUCUUCCAUAGGCUGCAAAGUGCUCCAAAUGUCAACUUGCAGAUUCUACAAAAAGAGUGUUUCCAAACUGUUGAAUCAAAAGAAAUUUUCAAAUCUGUGAGAUGAAAGCACACAUCACAAAGAAUUUUGUCAAAAUUCUUCUGUCUAGUUUUUAUGUGCAGAUAUUUCCUUUCCACCUUAGGCCUCAAAGUGCUCCAAAUGUCCACUUGCAGAUUCUAAAAAAGGAGAGUUUCAAAACUCCUCAAUCAAAAGGAAGGUUUAACUCUGUGAGAUGAAUGCACACAUCCCAAAGAAGUUUCUCAGAUUGCUUCUGUGUAGAUUUUAUGUGAAGAUAUUUCCCUUUCUACCGUAGGCCACAACGUGCUCCAAAUAUCCACUUGCAGAUUCUACAAAUAGAGUGUUUCUAAACUGCUCAAUCAAAGGAAAGGUUCAAAUCUGUGAGAUGAACAAACACAUCACAAACAAGUUUCUCAGAAUGCUUCUGUCUAGUUUUUAUGUGAAGAUAUUUCAUUUUCCACCAUAGACUCAAGACGCUCGAAAUGUCCACUUGCAGAUUCUACAAAAAGAGUAUUUUAAAGCUGGUCCAACAAAAGAAAGGUUCAACUCUGGGAGAUGAAUGCACACAUCACAAAGAAGUUUCUCAGAUUGCUUCUGUCUAGAUUUUAUGUGAAGAUAUUUCGUUUUCUACCACAGGCCACAAAGCACUCGAAAUGUCCACUUGCAGAUUCUACAAAAAGAGUGUCUCCAAACUGCUCAAUCAAAAGAAAGUUUCAAAUCUGUGAGAUGAACACAUACAUCACAAAGAAGUUUCUCAGAAUUCUUCUGUCUAGUUUUUAUGUGAAGAUAUUUCCUUUUCCACAUUAGACCUCUAAGCACUCCAAAUGUCCAUUUGCAGUUUCUAGAAAAAGAGAGGUUCAAAACUGCUCAAUCAAAAGAAACGUUUAACUCUGGGAGAUGAAGGCACACAUCCAAAGACGUUUCUCAGAAUGCUUCCGUCUAGUUUUUAUGUGAAGUUAUUUCCUUUCCACCAUAGGCCUCAAAGUGCUAAAAAUGUCCGCUUGCAGAUUCUACAAAAAGAGUUUCAAAACUGCUCAAUCAGAAGAAAGGUUUAACUCUGUGAGAUGACUGCACACAUCACAAAGAAAUUUCUCAGAAUUCUUUUGUCUACUUUUUAUGUGACGAUAUUUCCUUUUCGACCAUAGACGUCAAAGCGCUAAAAAUGUCCACUUGCAGAUUCUACAAAAAGAGAGUUUCAAAACUUCUCUAUCAGAAGAAAGGCUUAACUGUGUGAGAUGAAUACACACAUCACAAAGAAGUUUCUCAGAUUGCUUCUGUCUAGAUUGUAUGUGAAGGUAUUUCCUUUUCUACUGUAGGCCUCAAAGCACACAAAAUGUCCACUUGCAGUUUCCACAAAAAGAGUGUUUCCAAACUGCUCAAUGAAAAGAAAAGUUGAACUCUGUGAGAUGAAAGCACAUAUCACAAAGAAGUUUCUCAGAAUUCUUCUGUCUACUUUUUAUAUGAAGAUAUUUCCUUUUCCACCUUAGGCAUCAAAGCAUUAAAAAUGUCCACUUGCAGAUUCUACAAAAAGAGAGUUUCAAAACUCCUCAAUAAAAAGAAAUGUUUAUCUCUGUGAGGUGAAUGCACACAUCACAGAGAAGUUUCUCAGAUUGUUUCUGUCUAGAUUUUAUGUGAAGAUACUUCAUUUUCUUCCAUAGGACAAAAAGUGCUCCAGAUGUCCAUUUGUAGAUUCAACAAAAAGAGUGUUUCCAAACUGAUGAAUCAAAAGAAAUUUUCAAAUCUGUGAGAUGACAGCACACAUCACAAAGAAGUUUGUCAGAAUUCUUCUGUCUAGUUUUUAUGUGAAGAUAUUUCCUUUCCACCGUAGGCGUCAAAGCGCUCCAAAUGUCUACUUGCAGAUUCUACAAAAAGAGAGUUUCAAAACUCCUCAAUCAAAAUGAAGGUUUAACUCUAUGGGAAGAAUGCACACAUCACAAAGAAGUUUCUCAGAUUGCUUCUGUCUAGAUGUUAUGUGAAGAUAUUUCCUUUUCUACCAUAGGCUGCAAAGCGCUCUAAAUGUCCACUUGCAGAUUAAAAAAAAAAGUGUUUCCAAACUGCUCAAUCAAAAGAAAGGUUCAACUCUGAGCGAUGAAUGCACACAUUACAAAGAAGUUUCUCCAAAUUCUUCAGUCUAGUUUUUGUGUGAUGAUAUUUCCUUUUUAAUCAUAAGACUCAAAGCACUCCAAAUGUCCACUAGCAGAUUCUACAAAAAGAGAGUUUCAAAAUUGCUCAAUCAAGAUAAAGUUUUAACUCUAUGAGAUGAAUGCACACAUCACAAAGAAGCUUCUCAGAUUGCUUCUGUCCAGAUUUUAUGUGAAGAUAUUUCCUUUUCUACCAGAGGCUGCAAAGUUCUCCAAAUGUCUACUUGCAGAUUCUACAAAAAGAGUGUUUCCAAACUGCUCAAUCAAAAGAAAUGUUGAACUCUGUGAGAUGAAUGCACGCAUCACAAAGAAGUUUCUCAGAUUGCUUCUGUCUAGAUUUUAUGUGAAGAUAUUUCCUUUUCUAACAUAGGCCACUAAGCACUCCAAAUGUCCACUUGCAGAUUCUACAAAAAAGAGUGUUUCCAAACUGCUCAAUCAAAAGAAAGGUUUAACUCUGUCAGUUGAGUGCACACAUCACAAAGUAAUUUCUCAGAAUUCUUCUGUCUGUUUUUUAUGGGAAGAUAUUUCCUUUUCCACCAUAGGUGUCAAAGCGCCCCAAAUGUCCACUUGCAGAUCCUACAAAAAGAGAGUUUCAAAACUGCUCAAUGAACAGAAACGUUAAACUCUGAGAGACAAAUGCACACAUGACAAAGAAGUUUCUCAGAAUUCUUCUGUCUAGUUUUUAUGUGAAGAUAUUUCCUUUUCUACCAUAGGAAGCAAAGCACACCAAAUUUCCACUUGCAGAUUCUGCAAAAACAGUGUUUCCAUCCCGGUCAAUCAAAAGAGACGUUCAACUCUGUGCAAAGAAGGCACCCAUCACAAAGAAGUUUCUCAGAAUUCUUCUGUCUAAUUUUUAUGUGAAGAUAUUUCAUUUUCCACCAUAGGCCUCAAAGUACUCAAAAUGUCCACUUGCAGAUACUACAAAAGGAGUAUUUCAAGGCUGCUCCAUCAAAAGAAAUAUUCAACUCUGGGAGAUGAAUGCACACAUCACAAAGAAGUUUCUCAGAAUGCUUCCAUCUAGUUUUUAUUUGAAGAUAAUUCCAUUUCCACCAUAGGCCUCAAAGCACUACAAAUGUCCACUUGUAGACUCUACAAAAAGAGAGUCUCAAAACUGCUCAAUCAAGAGAAAGAGUUAACACUGUGAGAUGAAUGCACACAUCACAAAGAAGUUUCUCAGAUUGCUUCUGUCUAGAUUUUAUGUGAAGAUAUUUGCUUUUCUUCCAUUGGUUGCAAAGCGCUGCAAAUCUCCACUUGCAUAUUCUACAAAAAGAGUGUUUCCAGACUGCUGAAUCGAAAGAAAGGUUCAACUCUGUGAGAUGAAUGCACACAUCACAAGGACGUUUCUCAGAAUUCUUCUGUCUAGUUUUUAUAUGAAGAUAUUUCCUUUUUUACCAUAGGUCUCAAAGCGCUACAAAUGUCCACUUGUAGAUUAUACAAAAAGAGAGCUUCAACACUGCUCUAUCAAAAGAAACGUUUAACUCUGUGAGAUGAAUGCACACAUCACAAAGAAAUUUCUCAGACUGCUUCUGUCUAGAUAUUAUUUGAAGAUAUUUCCUUUUCUACUGUAGGCCACAAAGAGCUCCAAUUUCCACUUGUAGAUUGUACAAAAAGUGUGUUUCCAAACUGCUCAAUCCAAAGAAAGAUUCAACUCUGUGAGAUGAGCACAUGCAUCACAAAGAAGUUUCUCAGAAAUCUUCUGUCUAGUUUUUAAGUGAAGAUAUUUCGUUGUCCAACAUAGACCUCAGAACGCUCCAAAUGUCCACUUGCGGAUACUCCAAAAGGAGUGUUUCAAAACUGUUCAAUCCAAAGAAAGUUUUACCUCUGUGAGAUGAAUGUACAGUACUCCAAAUGUCCUCUUGCAGAUUCUACAAAAAGAGUGUUUCCAAACUGCUUAAUCAAAAGAAAGGUUCAACUGUGUGAGAUGAAUGCACACAUCACAAAGAAGUUUGUCAGAAUUCUUCUGUCUAGUUUUCAUGUGAAGAUAUUAACUUUUUCACCAUAGGCCACAAAUUGAUCCAAAUGUCCACUUGCAGAUUCUACAACAAGAGAGUUUCAAAACUCCUCUAUCAAAAGAAAGGUUUAAUACAGUGAGGUGAAUGCACAUAUCAUAAAGAAGUUUCUGAGAUUGCUUCUGUCUAGAUAUUAUGUGAAGAUAUUUUGUUCUCUACCAUAGGCUUCAAAGCGCUCCAAAUGUCCACUGACAGAUUCUACAAAAGGAGUAUUUCCAAACUGCUCAAAGAAAGUUUCAACUAUGAGAUGAAUGCACACAUCACAAAGAUGUUGUUCAGAAUUCUUCUGUCUAGUUUUUAUGUGAAGAUAUUGCCUUUUCCACCACAGGCCUCAAACUGCUCCAAAUGUCCACUUCCAGAUCCUACAAAAAAAGAGUUUCAAAACUGCUCAAUCAAAAGAAAGAUUUAACGCUGUGAGAUGAAUGCACAUAUAAGAUAGAAGUUUCUCAGAUUGCUUUUGUCUAGAUUUUAUGUGAAGAUAUUUCCUUUUCUACCUUAGGCCGCAAAGCGCUCCAAAUGUCCACUUGCAGAUUCUACAAAAAGAGUGUUUCCAAACUGCUCAAUCAAAAGAAAGGUUCAACUCUGUGAGAUGAAUGCACACAUCACAAAGAAGUUUCUCAGAAUUCUUCUUUCUAGUUUCUAUGUGAAGAUAUUUCCUUUUCCACCAUAGGCCUCAAAGCGCUCCAAAUGUAAACUUGCAGAAUCUACAAAGGAAGCGUUUCAAAACUGCCAAUCAAAAGAAACUUUUAACUCUGUGAGAUGAAUGCAUACAUCACAAAGAAGUUUCUCAGAUUGCUUCUGUCUAUUUUUUAUGUAGAGCUAUUUCCUUUUCUACCAUAGGCCCCAAAAUGCUCCAAAUGUCCACUUGCAGAUUUUACAAAAAGAGUGUUUCCAAACUGCUAAAUCAAAAGAAAGGUUCAAUUCUGUGAGAUGAAUGCACACAUCACAAAAAGUUUCACAGAAUUCUUCUGUCUAGUUUUUAUGGGAAGAAAUUACCUUUCCCACCAUUGGCCUCAAAGUGCUCCAAAUGUCCACUUGCAGAUUCUACAAAGAGAAUUUCAAAACUACUCAAAAGAAAGAUUUCACUCUGUGAGACGAAUGCACAUAUCACAAAGAAGUUCUCAGGUUGCUUCUCUUGAGCUUUUAUGUGAAGUUAUUUCCUUUUCUACCAUUGACCGCAAAGUGCUCCAAAUGUCCAACUGCAGAUUCUACUAAGAGUGUUUCCAAACUGCUCAAUCAAAAGAAAGAUUCAACUCUGUGAGAUGAACCUGCACAUUCCAAAGAAGUUUCUCAGAGUUCUUCUGUCUAGUUUUUAUGUGAAAAUAUUUCCUUUUCCACCGUAGGCCUCAAAGCACUAAAAAUGUGCAUUUGUAGAUUCUAUAAAAAGAGAGUUUCAAAACUGAUCAAUGAAAAGAAAGGUUUCCUCUUUGAGAUGAAUGCACAUAUAACAAAAAAUUUAUCAGAUUGCUUCUGUCUAGAUUUUAUGUGAAGAUGUUUCCUUUUCUACCAUAAGCCACAAAGCGCUCCAAAUGUCCACUUGCAGAUUCUUGAAAAAGAGUGUUUCCAACAGCUCAAUCAAAAGAAAAGUUCAACUCUGUGAGAUGAAUGAACACAUCACAAACAAUUUCUCAGAAUGCUUCUGUCUAGUUUUUAUUUGAACAUAUUUCCUUUUCCACAAUAAUCCUGAAAGCGCUCCAAACAUCCAAUUGCAGAUUCUACAAAAAGAGUGUUUCAAAACUGCUCAUCAAAAGAAAGGUUCAACUCUGUGAGAUUAAUGCACACAUCACAAAGAAAUUUCUCAGAAUUCUUCUGUCUAGCUUUAAUGUGAAGAUAUUUUCUAUUCCCCAAUAGGCCCCACAACAGGCCUCGAAGCCCUCCAAAUAUCCACCUGCAGACUCCACAAAAAGAGUGCUUCCAACUGCUCAAUCAAAAGAAAGGUUCAACUCUGUGAGAUGAAUGCACACAUCACAAAGAGGUUUCUCAGAAUUCUUCUGUCUAGUUUUUAUGUGAAGAUAUUUCCUCUUCCACUACAGGUCUCAAAGUGCCCCAAAUGUCCACUUUCAGAUUCUAGAAAAAGAGAGUUUCAAAACUGUUGAAUCAGAAGAGAGGUUUAACUCUGUGAGAUGAAUGCGCACAUCACAAAAGUAGUUUCUCAGAUUGCUUCUUUCUAGAUUUUAUGUGAAGAUAUUUCUUUUUCUACCAUAGGCUGCAAAGCGUUCCAAAUGUCCACUUGCAGAUUCUACAAAACGAGUGUUUCCAAACUGCUCAAUUAAAAGAAUGAUUCAACUCUGUGAGAUGAACACACACAUCACAAAGUUUCUGAGCAUUCUUCUGUCUAGUUUUUAUGUGAAGUUAUUUCCUUUUCCACCAUAGGCCUCUAUGCACUCCAAAUGUCCACUUGCAGAUUCUUGAAAAAGAGAGUUUCAAAACUGCUCAAUCAAAAAAAGGUUUAACUCUGUGAGAUGAAUGCACACAUAACAGAAAUGUUUCUCAGAUUGCUUCUGUCUAGAUUUUAUAUGAAGAUAUUUACUUUUCUACCAUAGGCCGCAAAGCACACAAAAUGUCCACUUUCAGAUACUCCAAAAAGAGUGUUUCCAAACUUCUCAAUGAAAAGAAAGUUUCAACUCUGAGAGACGAACGCUCACAUCACAAAGAAGUUUCACAGAAUUCUUCAGUGUAGUUUUUAUGUGAAGAUAUUUCCUUUUCCAUCACAGGUCUCAAAGCGCUCCAAAUGUCCACUUGCAGAUGCUACAAAAAGAGAGUUUCAAAACUCCUAAAUCAAAAGAAAGGUUUUACUCUGUGAGAUGAAUGCCCACAUCGUAAAGAAGUUUCUCAGAUUAGUUCUAUCGAGAUUUUAUAUGAAGAUAUUUCCUUUUCUACCAUAGGCAGCAAAUCGCUCCAAAUGUCCACUUGCAGAUUCUACAAAAAGAGUGUUUCCAAACUGCUCAAUAAGAAGAAAGGUUCAACUCUGUGAGAUGAAUGAGCACAUGAGAAAGACGUUUCUCAAAAUUCUUCUGUCUAGUUCUUAUGUGAAGAUACUUAUUCUUCCACCAUAGGCCGCAAAAUGCUCUAAAUGUCCACUUGCAGAUUCUACAAAAAGAGUAUUUCCAAGUUGCUCAAUCAAAAGAAAGGUUCAACUCUGUGGGAGGAACACACACAUCACAAAGAAGUUUCUCAGAAUUCUUCUGUGUAGUUUUUAUGUGAAGAUAUUACCUUUUCCACCAUAGGCCUCAAAUCGCUCCAAAUGUCCACUUGCAGAUUCUACAAAAAGAGAGUUUCAAAACUGCUCAAUAAAAAGAAUGGUUUAACUCUGAGAUAUAUGCACACACCACAAAGAAGUUUCUCAGAUUGCUUCUGUCUAGAUUUUAUGUGAAGAUAUUUCCUUUCCUACCAUAGGCUGCAAAGCCCUCCAAAUGUCCACUUGCAGGUUGUACAAAAAGAGUGUUUCCAAACUGCUCAAUCAAAAGAAAGGUUCAACUCUCUGAGAUGAACGCACACAUCACAAAGAAGUUUCUUAGAAUUCUUCUGUCUAGUUUUUAUGCGAAGAUAUUUCCUUUUCCAAAAUAGGCCUGAAAGCGCUCCAAAUGUGCACUUGCAGAUUCUACAAAAAGACAGUUUCAAAACUGCUUAAUCAAAAGAAAGGUUUAUCUCUCUGAGCUGAGUGCACACAUCGCAAAAAAUUUCUCAGAUUGCUUCUGUCUAUAUUUUAUGUGAAGAUGUUACCUUUUCUACCAUAGGCUACAAAGCACUCCAAAUGUCCACUUGCAGAUUCUACAAAAAGAGUGUUUCCAACAGCUCAAUCAAAAGAAAUGUUCACCUCUGUGAGAUGAAUGAACACAUCUCAAGCAAGUUUCUCAGAAUGCUUCUGUUUAGUUUUUAUUUGAAGAUAUUUCCUUUUCCACAAUAGUCCUGAAAGCGCUCCAAACAUCCACUUGCAGAUUGUACAAAAAGAGUGUUCCAAAACUGCUCAAUCAAAGAAAGGUUCAACUCUCUGAGAUUAAUGCACACAUAACAAAGAAGAUUCUCAGAAUGUUUCUAUCUAGUUUUAAUGUGAAGAUAUUUCCUAUUCCACAAUAGGCCCCACAAUAGGCAUCAAAGCCCUCCAAAUAUCCUCCUGCAGAUUCCACAAAAAGGAUGUUUCAAAACUGCCCAAUCAAAAGUAAGUUUCAACUGUGUGAGAUGAAUACACAUAUCACAAAGAAGGUUGUCAGAAUGCUUUGGUCUAGUUUUUAUCUGAAGAUAUCUCCUUUUCCACCAUAGUCCUAAAAGUGCUCCAAAUGUCCACAAGCACAUUGUACAAAAAGAGCAUUUCCAAACUGCUCAAUGAAAAGAAAGGCUCAGCUCUGUGAGAUGAAUGCACAGAUCACAAAGAAAUUUGACAGAAUGCUUCUGUUUAGUUUUUAUGUGAAGAUGUUUUCUUUUCCACCAGAGGCCUCAAAGCGCUCCCAAUGUCCACUUGCAGAUUUUAUGAAAGGAGUGUUUCAAAGCUACUCCAACAACAGAAAGGUUCAACUCUGUGAGUUGAAUGCACACAUCACAAAGAAGUUUCUGAGAAUGCUUCUGUCUAGUUAUUAUGUGAAGAUAUUUCGUUAUCCACCAUAGACCUCAAAGCACUCCAGAUGUCCACUUGCAGAUUCUGCAAAAAGAGUGUUUCAAAACUGCUCAAUUGAAAGUAAAAUUCAACUCUGUGAGAUGAAUUCACACUUCACAAAGAAACAUCUCGGAAUGCUUCUGUCUAGUUCUUAUGUGAAGAUAUUUCUAUUUCCACCAUAGGCCUCAAAGCGCCCCAAAAGUCCACUUGCAGAUUCUACAAAAAGAGAUUUUCAGAAUUGCUCAGUGAAAAGAAAAAGUUAACUCUGUGAGAUGAAUGCACACAUCACAAAGAAGUUUUUCAGACUGCUUCAGUCUAGAUGCUAUAUGAAGAUAUUUCCUUUUCUACCUUAGACAGCAAAGCGCUCCAAAUGUCCAAUUGCAGAUUAUACAAAAACAGUGUUUCAAAACUGUUCAAUCAAAAGAAAGGUUCAACACUGUGAGAUGAACGCACACAUCACAAUGAUGUUUCUCAGAAAUCUUCUGUCUAGUUUUUAUGUGAAGAUAUUUCCUUUUACACCAUAGGCCUCAAAGUGCUAAAAAUGUCAACUUGCGUUUUCUACAAAAACAGAGUUUCAAAACUGCACAAUCAGAAGAAAGGUUUAACUCUGUGAGAUGAAUAGACACAUCACAAAAAGUUUCUCAAAUUCCUUCUGUCUAGAUUUUAUGUGAAGAUAUUUUCUUUACUGCCAUAGGCUGCAAAGCGCUCCAAAGGUCCGCUAGCAGAAUCAUCAAAAAGAUUGUUUCCAAAAUGCUAAAUAAAAGAAAGUUUCGACUCUGUGAGAUGACCGCAUAAAUCACAAAGAAGUUUCUCAGAAUUCUUCUGUCUAGUUAUUAUGUUAAGAUAUUCUCUUUUCCAGGAUAGGCCUCAAACCGCUCCAAAGGUCUACUUGCAGCUUCUACAAAUGAGAGUUUCAAAACUGCUCAAUCCAAAGAAAGGUUUAACAUGGUGAGAUAAAUGCACACAUCACAAAGAAGUUUCUCAGAUUCCUUCUGUCUAGAUUUUAUGUGAGGAUAUUUCCUAUUCUACCAUAGCACACAAAGCGCUUUAAAUGUCCACUUGCAGAUUCUUCAAAAAGAGUAUUUCAAAACUGGUCCUUCAAAGGAAAGAUUCAACUCUGGGAGGUGAAUGCACACAUCACAAAGAAGUUUCUCAGAAUGCUUCUAUCUAGUUUUUAUAUGAAGAUAUUACCUUUUCCACAUUGGCCUCAAAGUGCUCAAAAUGUCCACUUGCAGAUUCUACAAAAAGAGUGUUUCCAAACUGCUCAAUCAAAAGAAAGGUUCAACUCUAUGAGAUGAACACACACAUCACAAAUAAGUUUGUCAUAAUGCUUCUGUCUAGAUUUUAUGUGAAGAUAUUUAAUUUUCCAUAAUAGGCCUCAAAGUGCUCCAAUGUCCACUUGCAGAUUCUACAAAAAGAGUGUUUCAAAGCUGCUCAAUCAAAAGAAAGUUACAACUCUGUGAGAUGAAUGCACACAUCACAAAGAAGCUUGUCAGGAUGCAUCUGUCUAAUUUUUAUGUGAAAAUAUUCCCUUUUCCACCAUAGGCCUCAAAGUGCUCCAAAUGUCCACUUGCAGAUUCUACAAAAAGCGUGUUUCAAAGCUGCUCAAUCAAAAGAAAGUUUCAAGUCUGGGAGAUGAAUGCACACAUCACAAGGAAGUUUGUGAGAAUGCUUCUGUCUAGUUUUCAUGUGAAGAUCUUUCCUUUUCCACCAGAGACCUCAAGGCGCUCCAAAUGUCCACUUGCAGAUUCUACAAAAAGAGAGAUGCAAGACUGCUCAAUGAAAAGUAACGUUCAAUUCUGUGAGGUGAAUGCACACAUCACAAAGAAGAUUCUCAGAAUUUUUCUGUCUAGUUUUUAUGUGAAGAUGUUUCAUUUUCCACCAUAGACCCCAAGACGCUCGAAUGGUUCACUUGCAGAUUCUACAAAAAGAUUGUUUCAAAGCUGCUCAAACAAAGGAAAGGUUCAACUCUCUGAGAUGAAUGCACAUGUCACAAAGAAGUUUUUCAAAAAGCUUCUGUCUUGUUUUGAUGUGAAGAUAUUUUCUUUUCCACCAUAGGCCUCAAAGUGCUGCAAAUGUCCACUUCCAGAUUCUACAGAAAGAGUGUUUCAAAGCUGCUCAAUGAAAAGUAAGGUUCAACUCUGUGAGAUGAAUGCACACAUCACAAAGAAGUUUGUCAGAAUGCUUCUGUCUAGGUUUUAUGUGAAGAUAUUUCCUUUUCCAUGAUAGGCCCCAAAGCACUCCACAGGUCCAGUUGUAGAUUCUACAAAAAGAAUGUUUCAAAGCUGCUCAAUCAAAAGAAACGUUCAUCUCUGUGACAUGAAUGCACACAUCACAAUGAAAUUUAUCAGAAUGCUUCUGUCUAGUUUUUUUGUGAAAAUAUUUCCUUUUCCACCAUAGGCCUCAAAGUGCUCCAAAUGUCCACUUGUAGAUUCUACAAACAGAGUGUUUAAAAACUGCUAAAUGAAAAGAAAGAUUCAACUCUGUGAGAUGAAUACACACAUCACGAAGAAGUUUGUCAGAAUGCUUCUGUCUAGUUUUUAUAUGUUGAUAUGUCCUUUUCCACAAUAGGCCAGAAAGUGCUCCAAAUGUCCACUUGCAGAUUCAACAAAAAGAGUGUUUCAAAGCUGCUCAAUGUAAAGAAAGGUUCAACACUGUGAGCUGAAUGACCACAUCUCAAAGAAGUUUGUAAGAAUGCUUCUGUCUAGUUUUUAUGUGAACAUAUUUCCUUUUCCACCAUAGGCCUCAAAGGGCUCCACAUGUCCUCUUGCUGAUUCUACAAAAAGAGGGUUUCAAAGCUGCUCAAUUAAAAGAACAGUUCAACUCUGUGUGAGAUGAAUGCAAACAUCACAAAGAAGUUUCUCAUAAUGCUUCUGUCUAGUUUUGUUGGGAAGAUAUUUCCUUUUCCACCAUAUGCCUCAAAGCGCUCCAAAUGCACACUUGCAGAUUCUACAAAAAUGGUGUUUCAAAACUGACCAAUCAAAAGUAAGGUUCAACUCUUUGAGAUGAAUGCAGACAUCACAAAGUAGUUUUUCAGAAUGCUUCUGUCCAGUUUUUAUGUGAAGAUAAGUCCUUUUCUACUAUAGGCCUCAAAGCACUCGAAAUGUACACUUGCAGAUUCUACAAAAAGUGUGUUUCAAAGCUGCUCAAUCAAAAGAAAGGUUCAAUUCUGUGAGAUGAAUGCAUGCAUCAUGAAGAAGUUUGUCAGAAUGCUUUUGUCUAUUUUUUUUUUUUUUUGUGAGCAACAAGGCUGUUUAUUUCACCUGAGUGCAGGUGGGCUGAGUCCAAAAAGAGAGCAAAAGGUGAUUGGAUUAUCAUUAGUUCUUAUAGGUUUUGGAAUAGGCAGUGGAGUUAGGAGCAAUGUUUUGCGGGCAGGAGUUGGAUCUCACAAAGUACAUUCUCAAGGGUGGGGAGAAUUACAAAUUACAAAGAACCUUCUCAAAGGUGAGGGAGAUUAAAAAGAACUUUCUUAAGGGUGGGGGAGAUUACAAAAUACAUCAGUUAGUGUGAAGCAGAAACAAAACACAAUGGUGGAAUGUCAUCAGUUAAGGCUAUUUUCACUUCUUUUGUGGAUCUGGGACGUGAGGAGUGCCUCUGCCUGGACGCCCAUUGUCUGGGAUGUGAGGAGCGCCUCUGCCCGGCCGCCCCAUCUGGGAAGUGAGGAGCUCCUCUGCCUGGCCACCCCGUCUGAGAAGUGAGGAGCGCCUCUGCCCGGCCGCCCCAUAUGGGAAGUGAGGAGCGCCUCUGCCUGGCCACCCUGUCUGGGAGGUCUACCACAGAGGCCAGACGCAGUGUGGGGGCUGGACGUGGUGGCUCACGCCUGUAAUCCCAACACUCUGGGAGGCCAAGGUGGGUUGAUCACUUGGGGCUAGGGGUUCGAGACCAGCCUGGUCAACAUGGCAAAACAUAUGAAAAUUACAACAAACCAAACAACCAAUCAACCAACCCAGCAACAACAAAACAGGUCUACCCUGGAGUCAUACUCUAAAUUUUUCUAUUUUCCUCCCUUUCUGAUCCUUUAUCCCACUUUCUUUUUCUUCCUCUUCCUUCUCCUUCUUGUCAAAGACAUAGAGGAUUGAGUUAUUAUCAUUGAUCAAUACAAAGUCCCUCUCUCAUUUAUUUUCUUUCAUUCCCACCCCCCAUUUCUAUUCCCCAUCUUCCUGUGUGCAACCUUCCUAAUAUGUUUGAUAUGCUUCUUUUUGUAUAUAUUUUUAGAAAAUGUUAAAUAAAAAAAAUUUAAGAAAGCCCUGCAAAAGCAGGAAAGCUGAACUGGCUGCUGAGCCCCUUCUGGUUGGCCACACAGUACCCACAACUGUAGCCCCUGGACUCCUAGUGUGGGCUAAGGUGGAGUGGACCCUCUGGCUUGGUCACAGUGCAAUGGGCCACCUGGAAACUAUCCAAAAGAGAAGACCUACCAGCCCGUGCCCUAGGUGCAGCUGCCACCCGCACAUCAGGCACCAGCAGCAAUGGCCAGACCAUCCCUGAUUCUCCAUGCCCUCCCCAUCCCCACGUCAACAGCAAGGAAUCCCUGACAGGAUGCUGCAGUAGUGGCUGUCAGGAAGUCGGCUGGGCAGGUGCAUAACGAUAAAGAUAGACUCUCAGCCCCAUCCCUAUGGCCACGAUGUGCUCAUCCCCUGGCGGCUCCUCAGCCCUAUCCUAGUGGCCACGGAGUGGCAUGCAGGCAGCAGCCUUGGGAACCCCGAUUGCCCGUCCUCACACGUGCCCAUCACAAGACUUGGGCGACGGGGAGGUGAAGUCAGACUGUGUCCCCAGCGGCACCACAAGGCCGAGAACCGGCACUCAGCCUCAACCCCGUGACUGCAGGGUGCCAAGUGCCAGGUCCUGCGCUCUGGGCAUGGGUCAGGAGCAGCUGGCAAGGGCAGCACAGCCUGUGGGGCCCUUGGGCAUGGCCAGCCGCAGCUCCGGGAAGCCACUGCAGCUCCGGGAAGCCACGUCAGCCCACGGGCACUGCAGCUGCAGCUGCCACCAGCACAUGGAGCAGGGGUCACUGAGGAUUGGGAAUCCCCGACCAGGCUAGCGCCUCCAGCCGCGCAGACCCCGGGGGCCAGCCCAGCCGCGGCAAGUCAGGUAGUCUGCGGCAGGAGCGCCGGACAUGGGUUUUGGCCCGGGGUGCAGGAGGCAUGCACCCUCUGGCCAGAUGGGUGGUGCACUCAGGGCCCAGGAGGCCAUCCCAGGGGAACCCCGCCAGCCUCUGCCAGAGCUCAAGCUGAAGCUGCCACCUGCAAGUGGUGCGCUGGCUGCAGCGGUGGCAACCCCAGAUCCCAUCCUCCCACCUCACGCCCAUCAGCGCAGACCCCAGGGGUGACGCAGUGACGAAGUAGGGCUGUGGUCCCAGUGGCAGCACCAGGCGGAGAAGCACCACUCAAUCCCAUCCCUGGGCUGCAGAGGGCCCAGCGUGGGGGGCUCCGAGCAUCGGGAGCCAGUGGAAGAGGAGAAGAGCACGUGGGCGACAGUCAAACAGGCCCUGGGGCAGGGUGUGCCUCAUGCUCCAGGGAGCCCCGCCAGCCCGAGGCACCUGAGCAGCAAUCGCCGCCUGCACUGGGUGCCACGAGAGAGCUGCUAGGGCGGUUUCUCCACCUCGGGCCUGUUGCUCGGGACCAGCUAAGGUGCACAUGCUCGCUGGUCCUGACCAUUCUGUUGGGCAUUUCUGCUGAGAGGCGGGAGGUGCUGAGAGUCUCUGCGAAGGUCCAUGGACAGACUGCAUUGCUUGUUGUUGUGCUUCGGAGGCGGCGAUCCCCGAAGGCGAGCUGAAAUAUAGCUGGAGCGUUCCCAGGCUACAAUUUGCAGUGACGAUUAUGGAAGAUGAGCCGGAGUGGUGGCCCACCCUCAGGGAGCACUUGUGCUCGUAUGGCUUCUCAUUUCCCCAGUACCAUAUUAAAUCAUCUCAUCUGAGGAGGAUCCACAGAGCUGUCUUCUGUGGUAAUCUGGAGAAAGUGAAAUACCUUUGUCUGAGUAGUUGUCGACUUUGUUUCCACAUUAACUGGCUGUUUUGUUGUGGCUGCACUUCUGUUUCAUUACCUUCAUCUUGCAGGACGGAGUCUUGGCCGCAGACUGAGCCUGUACCUCACCCGUCUCCCACCGACUCUUGGUACUGGCCAUGGCCAUGCUGGGCAGCUCUAUGGAGGCCUGGUGGGCUACCUUGGGGGUUCAGUCAGUGAUCCUUUCACAGCUGGGGAGUGGAGACUGGGCCUGUGGUGGUGCUGUGUGCCUCCCAGCGCCUGGGGCGGUGCUCUGCACCUCCCGGUGCCUGCGGCGGUGCUGUGCCUUUUGUCUACUUUUUAUAUGAAGAUAUUUCCUUUUCCACCAUAGGCCUCCAAUUGCUCCAAAUGUCCGCUUACAGAUUCUACAAAAACAGUGUUUCAAAACUGAUCAAUGAAAAGUAAGGUUCAACUCUGUGAGAUUAAUGCACACAUCACAAAGAAGUUUGUCAGAAUGCUUCUGUCUCGUUUUUAUGUGAAGAUAUUUUCUUUUCUUCUAUAGCCUUCAAAGUGCUCCAAAUGUCCACUGACAGAUUCUCCAAAAAGAGUGUAUCAAAGCUGCUCAAUCUAAAGAAAUGUGCAACUCCGUGAGAUGAAUGCAUACAACUCAAAGAAGUUUGUCAGAAUGCUUCUGCUUAGUUUUUAUGUGAAGAUAUUUCCUUUUCCACAAUAAGGCUCAAGGCACUCCAAAUGUCUACCUCCAGAUACUACAAAAAUAGUGUUUCAAAACUGCUCAAUGAAAAGUAAGGUUAAACUCUGUGAGAGGAAUGCACACAUCACAAAGAAGUUUGUCAGAAUGCUUCUAUCUAGUUUUUCAUGUGAAGAUAUUUCCUUUUCCACCAUAGACCACAAAGUGCUCCAAAUAUCCACUUGCAGAUUCUACAAAAAGAGUGUUUCAAAACUGCUCUAUCAAAAGAAUGGUUCGACUCUGUUAGUUGAGUACACACAUCACAAACAUGUUUCUAAGAAUGCUUCUGUCUAGUUUUUAUGGGAAGAUAUUUCCUUUUUCACCACAGGCCACAAAGCUCUCCAAAUGUCCACUUUGAGAUACUACAAAAUGAGUGUUUCAAACCUGCUCUAUGAAAGGAAUGUUCAACUCUGUGUCUUAAAUGCAAACAUCACCAAGAAAUUUCUGAGAAUGCUUAUGUCUACUUUCUAAAUGAAGCUAUUCCCGUUUCCAACGAAAUCCUCAAAGCUAUGCAAAUAUCCACAUGAAGAUUCUACAAAAAGAGUGUUUCAAAACUGAUGUCUCAAAAGAAAGUUUCAAUUCCAUUAGCUGAGUACACACAAAACAAACAAGUUUCUGAGAAUGCUUCUGUCAACUUUUUAUGGGAAGAUAUUUGCUUUUUCACCAUAGGCUUCAAAGCGCCCCAAUUGUUUACUUACAGAUACUACAAAAAGAGUGUUUCAAACCUGCUCUAUGAAAGGAAAUGUCCAACUCUGGAGCUUGUAUGCAAACAUCACAAAGAUGUUUCUGAGAAUCCUUCUGUGUAGAUUUUACAUGAAGAUAUUCCCGUUUCCGACGAAAUUCUCAAAUCUAUGCAAAUAUCCACAUGCAGAUUCUACAAAAAGAGUGUUUCAAAACUGCUCUAUGAAAAGACAUGUUCAACUCCGUUACUUGAGUACACACAUCACAGACAAGUUUCUGAGAAUGCUUCUGUCUAGUUUUCAUGGGAUGAUAUAUCCUUUUUCAAAAUAGGCCUCAAAGUGCUCCAAAUGUCCACUUCCAGAUACUACAAAAAGAGUGUUUCAAACCUGCUCUAUGAAAGGAAGGUUCAACUCUGUGACUUGCAUGGAAACGUCACAAAGAAGUUUCUGAGAAUGCUUCUGUCUACUUUUUAAACGAAGAUAUUCCCAUUUCCAACGAAAUCCUCAAAGCUAUGCAAACAUCCACUUGCAGAUUCUACAAAAAGAGUGAUUCAAAACUGCUCUAUCAAAAGAAAGGUUCAACUCUGUUAGUUGAGUACAAACAUGACAAACAAGUUUCUGAGAAUGAUUCUGUCUAGUUUUUAUGGGAAGAUGUUUCCUCAUUCACCACAGGCCUCAAAGCGCUCCAAAUUUCCACUUCCGGAUACUACAAAAAGAAUGUUUCAAACCUGCUCUAUGAAAGGGAAGGUUCAAAUCUGUGACCUGAAUGCAAACAUCAGAAAGAAGUUUCUGCGAAUGCUUCUGUCUACUUUUUAUAUUGGCAUUCCCAUUUCCAACGAAAUCCUCAAAGCUAUCCAAAUAUCCACUUGCAGAUUCUAUAAAAAGAUUUUUUCCAAACUGUUCUAUCAAAAGAAAGGUUCAACUCUAUUAGUUGGGUACACACAUAAUAAACAAGUUUCUGAGAAUGCUUCUGUGUAGUUUUUAAGGGAAGAUAUUUCCUUUUUCACCAUAAGCCACAGAGCUCUCCAAAUGUCCACUUCCAAAUACUACAAAAAAAGUGUUUCAAACCUGCUCUAUGAAAGGGAAUGUUUAACUCUGUGACUUGAAUGCAGACAUCACAAAGAUGUUUCUGAGAAUGCUUCUGUAUAGAUUUUAUAUGAAGAUAUUCCCAUUUCCAACGAAAUCCUCAAAGCUAUCCAAAUAACCACUUGCAGAUUCUACAAAAAGUCUGUUUCGAAACUGCUCUAUCAAAAGAAACGUUCAACCCUGCUAGUUGAGUACACACAUCGCAAACAAGUUUCUGAGAGUUCUUCUGUUUAUUUUUAUGGGAAGAUGUUUCCUUUUUCACAGUAGGACUCAAAGCGCUCCAAAUGUCCACUUCCAGAUACUACGAAAAUUGUGUUUCAAACCUGCUCUAUGAAAGAGAAUGUUCAAAUCUGUGACUUGAAUGCAAACAUCACAAAGAAGUUUCUGAGAAUGCUUCCACUUUUUAUAUGAAUAUAAUACGUUUCCAACGAAAUCCUCAAAGCUAUCCAAAUAUCCACUUGCAGAUUCUACAAAAAGAGUGUUUCAAAACUGCUCUAUCAAAAGAAAGGUUCAACUCUGUUAGUUGAGUACACACAUCACAAACAAGUUUCUGAGAAUGCUUCUGUCUAGUUUUUAUGCGAAGAUAUUUCCUUUUUCACCAUAGGCCACAAAGCGUUCCAAGUGUCCAGUUCUAGAUACUACAAAAACAGUGUUUCAAACCUGCUCUAGGAAAGUGAAUGUUCACUUCUGUGACUUGAAUGCAAACAUCAUGAAGAUGUUUCUGAGAAUGCGUCCUUCUAGAUUUUAUGUGAAGAUAUUCCCUUUCCCAACGAAAUCCUCAAUCUAUCCAAAUAUCCACUUGCAGACUCUACAAAAAGAGUGUUUCAAAACUGCUCUAUCAAAAGAAAGGUUCAACUCUGUUAGUUGAGUACACACAUCACCAACAAGUUUGUGAGAAUGCUUCUGUCUAGAUUUUAUAUGAAUAUAUUCCCAUUUCCAACGAAAUCCUCAAAUCUAUCCUAAUAUCCACUUGCAGAUUCUGCAAAAAGAGUGUUUCAAAACUGCUCUAUCAAAAGAAAGGUUCAACUCUGUUAGUUGAUUACACACAUCACAAACAAGUUUCUGAGAAUGUUUCUGUCUAGUUUUUAUGGGAAGAUAUUUCCUUCUUCACUAUAGGCCAAAUAGCGCUCCAAAUGUCCAGUUGCAGAUACUACAAAAAGAGUGUUUCAAACCUGCUCUAUGAAAGGGAAUGUUCAACUCUGUGACUUCAAUGCAAACAUCACAAAGAAGCUUCUGAGAAUUCUUCUGUCUAGAUUUUAUAUGAAGAUAUUCCCUUUCCAACGAAAUCCUCAAAGCUCUCGAAAUAUCCACUUGCAGAUUCUACAAAGAGUGUUUCAAAACUGCUCUAUCAAAAGAAAGGUUCAUCUCUGUUAAUUGAGUACACACAUCACAAACAAUUUUCUGAGAAUACUUCUGUCUGGUUUUUUUUUUAUGCUUUUAUUUUUAGGGUACCUCUGCACAUUGUGCAGGUUAGUUACAUAUGUUUACAUGUGCCAUGUUGGUGCUCAGCACCCACUAACUCGUCAUCUAGCAUUAGGUAUAUCUGCCGAAGCUAUCCCUGCCCCCUCCCCCCACCACACAACAGUCCCCAGAGUGUGACAUUCCCCUUCCUGUGUCCAUGUGACCUCAUUGUUCAAUUCCCACCCAUGAGUGAUAAUAUGCGGUGUUUGGUUUUUUGUUCUUGUGAUAGUUUACUGAGAAUGAUGAUUUCCAAUUUCAUCCAUGUCCCUACAAAGACAUGAACUCAUCAUUUUUUAUGGCUGCAUAGUAUUCCAUGGUGCAUAUGUGCCACAUUUUCUUAAUCCAGUCUAUCAUUGUUGGACAUUUGGGUUUGUUCCAAGUCUUUGCUAUUGUGAAUAAUGCCGCAAUAAACAUAGUGUGCAUGUGUCUUU